AACAAGAGAAGAAUUUACAUGGUUCAACUACCGAUUCCUUACGUCUUGGACACAACCUCAAAGGGUUACAUUUCGUUCACUUGUGUGUUUAACAUAAUACAUAAAAGUCCAUAUUUAUAAUGGAUGAUACAAGAUACAUAUGCCAUCCUAUCAAUAAACCAUAAAUCAAUCCUUUAUAUAAGCAUUCAUCAAGCCAAUGACUUAGCUAAUCAAUCACGUGAUUUUUUCAUUAUCUCGAGAUUCUUCAAUAAUAAUAUGAUAAAAUAAAACUUUAGCUAGGUUCAAUUCUUGAAUCCAUAUUGAAAUUUAAUUAGGGAAAUAUUACCUAAUUUUGUAAAACAAUGCCAUCAAACAACAGGUCAAUAACAAGAUUAGGACCACAAAGGGGGCAUAUGAAGAGAGAGAAACAAGAGCAUCUUGUAUUAAUAUUCAAAGCUUCUUUCCACU
RNAcentral lists this unclassified non-coding RNA (447 nucleotides) under Hevea brasiliensis (rubber tree). Lineage: Eukaryota; Viridiplantae; Streptophyta; Magnoliopsida; Malpighiales; Euphorbiaceae. The record is from RNAcentral.